AUCUCUGGGUACUUGUAUUUAUUUUAUUUAAUGUGUUAAUUUAUACUUAGGUAGUGUGUGUGAAUGGAAUGCGAUAUAAUCUUUUUAAGGAGGUGUGGGACUAUAUUGGACACUCUAUUGGGAUCUGGAGUCAUCAAAAGGUUAAGAACCACUGGCAUAGGGGUUACAAAGCAAAUUACAAGCAUACCACAUUAUUAUGGUGGUUUGUUUUACAUCAGUAAUCUGGAACAGAUUACUGAUGUAAAACAAAUCACUUCCUUUUUUUCAUUUACUAAUGCAUAUAAAAGCCUAAAAAUAUAUUUAUACUAUUAUUAAGUGUGC
This 321-nucleotide long non-coding RNA is filed under the name Androctonus crassicauda. The record is from RNAcentral. Lineage: Eukaryota; Metazoa; Arthropoda; Arachnida; Scorpiones; Buthidae.